This 253-nucleotide ribosomal RNA is filed under the name uncultured bacterium. RNAcentral describes it as "partial 16S ribosomal RNA". It matches the Rfam family "Bacterial small subunit ribosomal RNA", at positions 524 to 776 of the family's 1533-position model. The record is from RNAcentral.
UACAGAGGUCUCAAGCGUUGUUCGGAUUCAUUGGGCGUAAAGGGUGCGUAGGCGGCGCGGUAAGUCGGGUGUGAAAUCUCGGGGCUUAACUCCGAAACUGCAUUCGAUACUGCCGUGCUUGAGGACUGGAGAGGAGACUGGAAUUUACGGUGUAGCGGUGAAAUGCGUAGAUAUCGAGAGGAACACCAGUGGCGAAGGCGAGUCUCUAGACAACUCCUGACACUGAGGCACGAAAGCUAGGGGAGCAAACAGG